GUGGGGAAUCUUAGACAAUGGGGGAAACCCUGAUCUAGCCAUGCCGCGUGAGCGAUGAAGGCCUUAGGGUUGUAAAGCUCUUUCAGCUGGGAAGAUAAUGACGGUACCAGCAGAAGAAGCCCCGGCUAACUCCGUGCCAGCAGCCGCGGUAAUACGGAUGGGGCUAGCGUUGUUCGGAAUUACUGGGCGUAAAGCGCACGUAGGCGGAUCGGAAAGUUGGGGGUGAAAUCCCAGGGCUCAACCCUGGAACUGCCUUCAAAACUAUCGGUCUGGAGUCCGGGAGAGGUGAGUGGAAUUCCGAGUGUAGAGGGUAAAUUCGUAGAUAUUCGGAGGAACACCAGUGGCGAAGGCGGCUCACUGGCUCGGUACUGACGCUGAGGUGCGAAAGCGUGGGGAGCAAACAGGAUUAGAUACCCGAGUAGUCC
Molecule: ribosomal RNA, 425 nt
Filed under: uncultured bacterium
Lineage: Bacteria
Description: partial 16S ribosomal RNA
Rfam family: Bacterial small subunit ribosomal RNA
Source: RNAcentral